This 179-nucleotide ribosomal RNA is filed under the name uncultured Planctomycetota bacterium. RNAcentral's name for it is "uncultured planctomycete partial 16S ribosomal RNA". It matches the Rfam family "Bacterial small subunit ribosomal RNA", at positions 29 to 232 of the family's 1533-position model. Lineage: Bacteria; Pseudomonadati; Planctomycetota. The record is from RNAcentral.
AAUGAACGUUGGCGGCGUGGAUUAGGCAUGCAAGUCGAGCGGGUGUAGCAAUACACCAGCGGCGAAAGGGAGAGUAAUACGUGGAUACCUGCCCCCGGGCUGGGAUAGCUUCGGGAAACUGAAGGUAAUACCAGAUAACGUCUCCGGACCAAAGGUGUGAUUCCGUCCGGGGAGGGUCC